RNAcentral lists this ribosomal RNA (348 nucleotides) under Triticum aestivum (bread wheat). RNAcentral's name for it is "partial small subunit ribosomal RNA". Lineage: Eukaryota; Viridiplantae; Streptophyta; Magnoliopsida; Poales; Poaceae. The record is from RNAcentral.
AUGCUGCGCGACCCUGCCGGGAACGUCCGAAAGCUGGCGCAGUUCCUCGGGUGCCCGUUCACAUCGGCGGAGGAGGACGCCGGCGUGGUCGAAGCGGUGGUGGAGCUGUGCAGCCUGCAGAGGCUCAAGAACCUCGAGGUGAACAGGAACGGCGCGCCGGCGCUGGUCGUGCCCAACGACGCCUUCUUCCGGAAGGGUGUCGCAGGCGACUGGCGCAAGCACAUGACGCCGGAGAUGGCGGCGAGGCUGGACGCCAUCGUCGAGGACGCCCUGCGUGGCACGGGGUUUUCGUUUGCCCACUCCAGCCAGGCGGCGGAGCACCACGGGACCGGCGCCGGAGCACCAUAG